AUUCACCUGACUCUAGUUGCGAAAAAAGGUCUUUCCAUUGCAGUUUUGCGUGAUAUACCAUUUUUGCGCUACGCCCGAAAAACCACCUCUUGCCAGCGCAAAAACUUUUAAUCAAAAAAUGACA
Long non-coding RNA from Sphaeramia orbicularis (orbiculate cardinalfish), 124 nucleotides. RefSeq lists it as uncharacterized. The record is from RefSeq and is a predicted model, not a curated record. The transcript has 3 exons. Lineage: Eukaryota; Metazoa; Chordata; Actinopteri; Kurtiformes; Apogonidae.